UAGCGCCAGGCCUGGCCUACCAGAUGGUGGGGUGGUUAUCUUCAAAGCCAAGUUACAUACAUGGUUAGUUCACCUUUGAUAGGUGGAUGAUCAGCGGGCGAUUUCCGUCGCAGAGAGUGUUUACUUUGCACCGAUGUGUCAAUGCUGCAGUAUGGUGAUGAAAACGACGUGGUCAUAAUCAACAUACCUACAUGAACAAAAUAUAGAGAAAGCAUGAAGUGGGAGGGAAAUUGUUCGAAAUCAAGUGGGGUUCUCGCCCCGAAAUGACAGUGAUCCCAACAUGUACCUACCGACACAGUAAGGCUUUUGCGAAAAGUUAUAACUACGUUGCCACUGCCAAUAACUGAUUAAGUACCUAAUUAAAUAACAGCCAUUACAGGAUUAAGAACAGGGGGUAUGGAUAGCUAACCACCCUAUCAGGUAUCUUGCAUACUUGUCCGCUGGUGUAUUCCAGUUUCAUCUGGCUACCCGUUCUUAUGUAACCGCUACUUCUAAGCCAGUUAUUUUUCGUUUGCUAUCGUUCUCCCCAGAAAGAAACUUGCAGAAACUUGCCUCGCCUGUCACAAGUUUCUCAGUUAUGAAAAAUAACAAAAAAUUAUACCCCACGGGCGGAGCAUCAAGUUAGUUAGUCGUGUAUUCACACUAACUAAUCUAUCCUCGAGUGGACAAGACUGGAAAGAAGCCUUACAAAACAACAACCAGGGCCACAUCCACACCUACCAUCUCAACACCUGACAGGCAUGAAGUGAAACAAACCAGAACAGACCAGACAGAAUCUCAAGAGCACAACCACGCAAAUAUUUAUACCGAGAAGAACCGAUAACCACUCAUUUCUCUCGCUACUUACGCGCAUCGGACCACGGAUAUUAUAACAAUACAACAAGACGCCUCGGUCAGCUCAACGUGCCUUCACGCUGAGAGGAGGCGAUGUUAUUUAAUUGAUGACGUUAUGAGCCUGAGGCAGUCAGUCACCGCUUCUUCCAACGCGGCGAGUGCAUUUCAAUUGCAUGCCCGUAACUCUUCUUGUCCGUUUCGUCUUUUUAGGUUGAUUAACUGACAUCCAAUUCUGACCUGAGAAAACCUACCGACAUCUAGUUACUGGGAGUUUCUGCACUCUCCACGGACCAUGGGCUAAGAUUUCCAUUGCACCAACAAACAUGUGUUUUUCAUCACAACCUUCCACCCUGCAAAACUCAGGCAACGAGGCUAGAGAGCGUAAGGCAUCAAUAGACCAAAAUUGCGGCACGGACAGCCAAUUAAAUUUGAGAUCCCAAAUUCCCUCCAUCAUUAUCAUUAAAGAUUGGCUCUGACUUUGCCAUCCCACACUCCCAUUCCCUCACUGCCACCAUGCGAGUCUGAACCAGCCCUAUAAAAAAUCCAUGUAAAAUAUAACGCGUUCGUGCCUUAUCAUAGGGCCAAAAGAAAAGAGAAGGGGAAAUGAAGACACGACAAGGGUGAUUUGAAAAAAAAAAAAAAAUCCUAGAAGAAAUAACAAUAACAACAAUGCAUGUUAUCACGCUGUGAUAAGCAGGGAACGCGGGGGACCAGGGACGGGCCGCGGUGCAUAAUUUAAUCUAGCCGAACUUGGCGUCUGCUUGCCAUCUGGUCUGGUCCUUUUCUUGAGCAGGGCAAAAGAGGAGGAGAAGACGGAAGCUGGAAUCACAGUUCAAAACAGGAUUCAUUUUCCUUGCUGUGUUGUUGGUUUGGGGCUUGGGGG
Molecule: small RNA, 1717 nt
Filed under: Histoplasma capsulatum var. duboisii H88
Lineage: Eukaryota; Fungi; Ascomycota; Eurotiomycetes; Onygenales; Ajellomycetaceae
Description: Histoplasma capsulatum H88 hypothetical RNA
Source: RNAcentral